Molecule: ribosomal RNA, 3003 nt
Filed under: Salmonella enterica
Lineage: Bacteria; Pseudomonadati; Pseudomonadota; Gammaproteobacteria; Enterobacterales; Enterobacteriaceae
Description: bacterial LSU rRNA
Rfam family: Bacterial large subunit ribosomal RNA
Source: RNAcentral
UUAAGCGACUAAGCGUACACGGUGGAUGCCCUGGCAGUCAGAGGCGAUGAAGGGCGUGCUAAUCUGCGAUAAGCGCCGGUAAGGUGAUAUGAACCGUUAUAACCGGCGAUACCCGAAUGGGGAAACCCAGUGUGACUCGUCACACUAUCAUUAACUGAAUCCAUAGGUUAAUGAGGCGAACCGGGGGAACUGAAACAUCUAAGUACCCCGAGGAAAAGAAAUCAACCGAGAUUCCCCCAGUAGCGGCGAGCGAACGGGGAGGAGCCCAGAGCCUGAAUCAGCAUGUGUGUUAGUGGAAGCGUCUGGAAAGGCGCGCGAUACAGGGUGACAGCCCCGUACACAAAAGCGCAUGUGCUGUGAGCUCGAUGAGUAGGGCGGGACACGUGGUAUCCUGUCUGAAUAUGGGGGGACCAUCCUCCAAGGCUAAAUACUCCUGACUGACCGAUAGUGAACCAGUACCGUGAGGGAAAGGCGAAAAGAACCCCGGCGAGGGGAGUGAAAAAGAACCUGAAACCGUGUACGUACAAGCAGUGGGAGCCCCACCACUAAGCCAGUGGUGAACUCCACAUACGCAUCCUUUGCUGAGGAUACGGUUAACGGAGCGAAAGCGACGUUCAACCGCAAAAGAAGCAGAGGGGGCUUAGUGGUGGGGUGACUGCGUACCUUUUGUAUAAUGGGUCAGCGACUUAUAUUCUGUAGCAAGGUUAACCGAAUAGGGGAGCCGGAGGGAAACCGAGUCUUAAUUGGGCGUUAAGUUGCAGGGUAUAGACCCGAAACCCGGUGAUCUAGCCAUGGGCAGGUUGAAGGUUGGGUAACACUAACUGGAGGACCGAACCGACUAAUGUUGAAAAAUUAGCGGAUGACCUGUGGCUGGGGGUGAAAGGCCAAUCAAACCGGGAGAUAGCUGGUUCUCCCCGAAAGCUAUUUAGGUAGCGCCUCGUGAAUUCAUCUCCGGGGGUAGAGCACUGUUUCGGCUAGGGGGCCAUCCCGGCUUACCAACCCGAUGCAAACUGCGAAUACCGGAGAAUGUUAUCACGGGAGACACACGGCGGGUGCUAACGUCCGUCGUGAAGAGGGAAACAACCCAGACCGCCAGCUAAGGUCCCAAAGUCAUGGUUAAGUGGGAAACGAUGUGGGAAGGCCCAGACAGCCAGGAUGUUGGCUUAGAAGCAGCCAUCAUUUAAAGAAAGCGUAAUAGCUCACUGGUCGAGUCGGCCUGCGCGGAAGAUGUAACGGGGCUAAACCAUGCACCGAAGCUGCGGCAGCGACGCUGAUGCGUUGUUGGGUAGGGGAGCGUUCUGUAAGCCUGCGAAGGUGGCCUGUGAGGGUUGCUGGAGGUAUCAGAAGUGCGAAUGCUGACAUAAGUAACGAUAAAGCGGGUGAAAAGCCCGCUCGCCGGAAGACCAAGGGUUCCUGUCCAACGUUAAUCGGGGCAGGGUGAGUCGACCCCUAAGGCGAGGCCGAAAGGCGUAGUCGAUGGGAAACGGGUUAAUAUUCCCGUACUUGGUGUUACUGCGAAGGGGGGACGGAGAAGGCUAUGUUGGCCGGGCGACGGUUGUCCCGGUUUAAGCGUGUAGGCUGGUUUUCCAGGCAAAUCCGGAAAAUCAAGGCUGAGGCGUGACGACGAGGCACUACGGUGCUGAAGCAACAAAUGCCCUGCUUCCAGGAAAAGCCUCUAAGCAUCAGGUAACAUCAAAUCGUACCCCAAACCGACACAGGUGGUCAGGUAGAGAAUACCAAGGCGCUUGAGAGAACUCGGGUGAAGGAACUAGGCAAAAUGGUGCCGUAACUUCGGGAGAAGGCACGCUGACACGUAGGUGAAGUGAUUUACUCAUGGAGCUGAAGUCAGUCGAAGAUACCAGCUGGCUGCAACUGUUUAUUAAAAACACAGCACUGUGCAAACACGAAAGUGGACGUAUACGGUGUGACGCCUGCCCGGUGCCGGAAGGUUAAUUGAUGGGGUCAGCGCAAGCGAAGCUCCUGAUCGAAGCCCCGGUAAACGGCGGCCGUAACUAUAACGGUCCUAAGGUAGCGAAAUUCCUUGUCGGGUAAGUUCCGACCUGCACGAAUGGCGUAAUGAUGGCCAGGCUGUCUCCACCCGAGACUCAGUGAAAUUGAACUCGCUGUGAAGAUGCAGUGUACCCGCGGCAAGACGGAAAGACCCCGUGAACCUUUACUAUAGCUUGACACUGAACAUUGAGCCUUGAUGUGUAGGAUAGGUGGGAGGCUUUGAAGUGUGGACGCCAGUCUGCAUGGAGCCGACCUUGAAAUACCACCCUUUAAUGUUUGAUGUUCUAACGUGGACCCGUGAUCCGGGUUGCGGACAGUGUCUGGUGGGUAGUUUGACUGGGGCGGUCUCCUCCUAAAGAGUAACGGAGGAGCACGAAGGUUGGCUAAUCCUGGUCGGACAUCAGGAGGUUAGUGCAAUGGCAUAAGCCAGCUUGACUGCGAGCGUGACGGCGCGAGCAGGUGCGAAAGCAGGUCAUAGUGAUCCGGUGGUUCUGAAUGGAAGGGCCAUCGCUCAACGGAUAAAAGGUACUCCGGGGAUAACAGGCUGAUACCGCCCAAGAGUUCAUAUCGACGGCGGUGUUUGGCACCUCGAUGUCGGCUCAUCACAUCCUGGGGCUGAAGUAGGUCCCAAGGGUAUGGCUGUUCGCCAUUUAAAGUGGUACGCGAGCUGGGUUUAGAACGUCGUGAGACAGUUCGGUCCCUAUCUGCCGUGGGCGCUGGAGAACUGAGGGGGGCUGCUCCUAGUACGAGAGGACCGGAGUGGACGCAUCACUGGUGUUCGGGUUGUCAUGCCAAUGGCACUGCCCGGUAGCUAAAUGCGGAAGAGAUAAGUGCUGAAAGCAUCUAAGCACGAAACUUGCCCCGAGAUGAGUUCUCCCUGAGACUUAGAGUCUCCUGAAGGAACGUUGAAGACGACGACGUUGAUAGGCCGGGUGUGUAAGCGCAGCGAUGCGUUGAGCUAACCGGUACUAAUGAACCGUGAGGCUUAACCUU